This 446-nucleotide ribosomal RNA is filed under the name uncultured bacterium. RNAcentral's name for it is "partial 16S ribosomal RNA". It matches the Rfam family "Bacterial small subunit ribosomal RNA", at positions 338 to 795 of the family's 1533-position model. The record is from RNAcentral.
CCUACGGGCGGCAGCAGUCGAGAAUCAUUCACAAUGGGGGAAACCCUGAUGGUGCGACGCCGCGUGGGGGAAUGAAGGUCUUCGGAUUGUAAACCCCUGUCAUGUGGGAGCAAAUUAAAAAGAUAGUACCACAAGAGGAAGAGACGGCUAACUCUGUGCCAGCAGCCGCGGGAAUACAGAGGUCUCAAGCGUUGUUCGGAAUCACUGGGCGUAAAGCGUGCGUAGGCUGUUUCGUAAGUCGUGUGUGAAAGGCGCGGGCUCAACCCGCGGACGGCACAUGAUACUGCGAGACUAGAGUAAUGGAGGGGGAACCGGAAUUCUAGGUGGAGCAGUGAAAUGCGUAGAUAUCGAGAGGAACACUCGUGGCGAAGGCGGGUUCCUGGACAUUAACUGACGCUGAGGCACGAAGGCCAGGGGAGCGAAAGGGAUUAGAUACCCUGGUAGUC